This 19-nucleotide small nuclear RNA is filed under the name Arabidopsis thaliana (thale cress). RNAcentral's name for it is "snRNA_02887". Lineage: Eukaryota; Viridiplantae; Streptophyta; Magnoliopsida; Brassicales; Brassicaceae. The record is from RNAcentral.
GAAAAGGAUUGGCUCUGAG